CAGCAGCCACGGUAAUACAGAGGGUGCGAGCGUUAAUCGGAUUUACUGGUCGUAAAGCGUGCGUAGGCGGCUUCUUAAGUCGGAUGUGAAAUCCCUGAGCUUAACUUAGGAAUUGCAUUCGAUACUGGGAAGCUAGAGUAUGGUAGAGGAUGGUAGAAUUCCAGGUGUAGCGGUGAAAUGCGUAGAGAUCUGGAGGAAUACCGAUGGCGAAGGCAGCCAUCUGGCCUAAUACUGACGCUGAGGUACGAAAGCAUGGGGAGCAAACAGGAUUAGAUACCCCUGUAGUCCCUGUCUCUUAUAC
RNAcentral lists this ribosomal RNA (301 nucleotides) under uncultured bacterium. Its description in RNAcentral is "partial 16S ribosomal RNA". It matches the Rfam family "Bacterial small subunit ribosomal RNA", at positions 509 to 807 of the family's 1533-position model. The record is from RNAcentral.